GGUGCUGUGGCUCAAGUGGUAGAGUGCUAGCUUUGCAUGCCUGAGGCCCUGGGUUCGAUUCCUCAGCACCA
Dipodomys ordii (Ord's kangaroo rat) is the source of this 71-nucleotide non-coding RNA. The record is from Rfam. Lineage: Eukaryota; Metazoa; Chordata; Mammalia; Rodentia; Heteromyidae.